RNAcentral lists this long non-coding RNA (5185 nucleotides) under Homo sapiens (human). RNAcentral's name for it is "PREDICTED lncRNA (TCONS_00040813)". The record is from RNAcentral. Lineage: Eukaryota; Metazoa; Chordata; Mammalia; Primates; Hominidae.
CCUGUUCUUGUCUAAUGAAGAAGAGAGAAGGAGGAAAAACUUCCAUUGCCAUGCAAUAAGACACAGCUGGAUCCUCCCUGUUUACCCCAGUGGAUGCUAAAUGCUUUGGUGAAGAGGAGACAUCCCUGCACAAAGCAGAGCUGUGGAUUCUCUGACCUCCUUGAAGACUCUCUUCUGAGCUGCAGUGGACAUUUGCCAUAUUUUUAUUAAUGGGUGUCUGUCAUCAAAUCUCCCUCUGUAAGGGUUGGUCACUGUUGUGGCUUCUCUCGAUGUGAGGUCGGACUCACCUUCCAUAUCAAAAGUGGACAAAAUCACACUCACACUCUCUUGUUCACACAUAAACACACAACCCUGGCACAAUCUGAGGGUCAGUAACUGACUUUGGCUCAGCCCACCAAGUGGUCUUUCCCUGAAGUGUGAAUCUCAGGGAAGCAAUACAAAAACAGGCAGGGGGUGGGUGGCUACCUCUGGAGACAGCUGGAGGUCGUCCUUUCAAAAGCAGGCUGGCGGGCACGCUGACCAAACUACUCCUGCCAAGGAGCCAUUGCUGUGGUUCCUUUGGACUGGACUUCUGACUCUCCCCUAAUUUCUACUCAUUUCUAAGGUUAAUUCUCUUUACUCUCCAACCACUCCAAUACAUUUCCUUCCAUUUAUGUUCUCUAGAGUCUGUUUUCAUUGCUGACACCUAAGGUGGUGCAUAAUUAUAAGCCAGCGUGAUUUCAUUUCCUAUCUGAAGCCUUCGAAAAAAAUGGCUCUCAAGCAGUAUCUCAGACACCCAAAUCCAAGGCUUUACUUUGGUGGCCAUGGAAAGACACCUGAAUGGGUGGGCGUGGGAAUAGGGUAAGAGAAGUAGAAAAGAGGAAGGGAAAAGAGAAAGUACUGCAUAUUUCAUACCUACUAUAGUCUAGGACUGAGGAUACAGCAAUGAUCAACAUAGGCAGAGGCUCUAACAGAUGCCAGGAGCCAGCUAGGCAUUUGUCCGGCUAUCUUAUGAUAAUAUUAUAGGGAGGGAGGUGCUCCCAUACCCCAAGUGGGAAGAGUGCGGCUCAGUGAGGCUGAGAAACUUGCCGUGGGUCACACAGCAGAUGACUAUUGGAGCUGGAAUCUGAACCAGAUCUCAUUCCUACCAUAUCUGCUCUUUCCACUACAUAAAUUUGUUAAACAAUGGUGGGUAAACCAUGCACCUUUUUUUCUUUUCGUAUUUUGAUUUCAGUGUUGUAUCCAUGAUUUGGAACGAGCCCACCUGAGCCUAAUGAUGCGACGAGAUCAUUGGAUUAUAUAUGUAUUUACUUUAAAAACACAAGGUAGAAAACUUUACUGAGUCCAUGAAAAGAAAAGCUGGAGACACGUCAAAGCCUGUUUUGAUUUAAGUGGAAUAGAUCCAGCUUGAGUGUAAAUUCGAGACUGUGUUUGCUUGUGUCACACUCUAUUUUUCAAAUUACUUUCAUAUGUCCUGUUUCAUUUAUUUCCCCCAGUUCGGAAUGGGAAAACUGAGGCCUGGGACUUGAAAUAACAGAUGUAUGUUUGUACAGCAAAUCAUCAUGAGAGCCAAAACUCAAACCCAUACUCUCUCACCGAACCCCACUGCUUCUUUCAGCACACAAUAAUUAUUAUUAUGCCAAGUAAGUUUAACAAGGUGACUUGGAUCGAUUCAUUCUGAUGAUUUGAGUUGGCUCCUGGGAUCAUCUGGGUAAAUAUUAGGCCCACAUCUCUUUCCAAACAUAUUCCAUCUCUCUCUCUCUCUUUGGUUUUUUCUUUUUUCUACAUUUUCACCUCUGCUCCCUCAUCAUACCUCCCUCCCUUUCUCUGUUGAACUCCUCCCCUUCUCUUCUUUCCUCCCUUCCUCUCAUCCUCUCACCCACAAAAACAUUUGUUUGUCUUACAUAGGGAUAGUGUCAUGUGACUGGGUGGCUGAAAGGAGAAGUAUCUUUUAAGCUCCUGGAAGCAGAAUAUUUUCUUAUGGAUUUUUUAUUGUUUGGAUUGUUUUGCCAGGCUAAUGAAAGAAGACUCUGAGGUCCCCUUAUCUCAGGCCAACUAGAGGAUGCCUUCAAGUUUUUGUUUUUCUUCCCAAGCUGGUUCCUUACAAAUGCAUCCAGAAGGUCAUUCCCAGGUCCCCAAGAUAGUGGUGGGUAAUCAAUCACAUCCAGGACAUCAGCAUCACAGCAGAUAAGCUCAUGCAUGGGAGGAUUUGGGAAAGGAGAGAGGGGAUCCUAAACUAUCCCUGAACCAUGUGCUCCAGCAAAGGCAAGUGGAGGGAUUACUUUUUCUAGGAGUUCACUGGGACAGCCACAAGUAUAUUCUAGCUCCAAUGACCAUUCUUCCCUUUUGAUUUUUGACUCAAAACAAAUAAAAAUACACAUACAUAAAAUCCUUAAACAUUUCCUAUAUAAUCUGAUAAUUGCAAUUCAGCAAGCAAUAAAGAUUGUGUGAUUGUGUUUAACAGCUCCAAGGGAUGGGUCCACACAGGGCCCCCAGGCAAUAACUAAUCCCUCUGAAACAAACAGAGAGGACUCCAGACCUGGCUUUGCCAAGGACAAGUUUUGUAAGCUUAUUUAAGUCACCUGACUUCUCUAGGCCUCAGAUUCCUCAGCUAUAAAAUAAUGAGCUAGUUUAUUAUUUCAACCAAUGCUUAUUAAACAUCCACUUUGUGUCAGGCUUUGUGCAAGAAGCUGGAAAUAUUUUUAAAGUAUAGACACAGUAUCUGUUCUCAGGGUCUCAGUGUUUAAUGCGGGAAAAGAUGCAUCAUAAGAGAAAAGUGCUGUGGACGGCAAAGGCAAAAACAACUCAGCCCAGGAGCUUAUCUUUAGGAUUCUUCCCAACCCCAAAAGUCUACGUGUAUGGCAUUUUUUUGUCUGUUCAUUUUGUUUUGGUUGUCUUUUCACAUGAAUGUUAUUUCAUUCUUUCUUGACUAGUUGUUUUCAAAUCAUUGUUGCAUUGUUGUCAUUAUCAUCCAUUACCAAUUACUAAACACAUACUGUUACCCCAAAUGUUGUAAUUACCCCAACUGUUGGUAAUUACCCCAAUGACUCUAAAAGUUAGACAUUAUAAUCACUAUUUUUUAUAUAAUAACACUGAAGCCCAGAGAGGUUAAGUAACUUACCCAAGCUCACAUCGCUAGAAAGUUACGGAACUGGGAUUGGAGUUGACCCCUGCCAACUCCAAAGUACAUGCUCUUUCUACUACUUGGUGCUGCCUUAGGUAUAUGUAGCCACUUAGGACAAACAUCAUUUACAGGAGCAGGUGUGAUAUAAAAAUAUGAGGCCCUUUGUUCAAAUAUUAUUGAAAAUUUCAAGAUAGCAACAGCAAAGCAUUAAACAAAGCACAAGGCCUGUCUAAGCACAGGGCUCUGAAUGACUGCCCAUGUUGCAAACCCAGGAAUCCAGCCCUGCCAGCCACAAUUCAGUUUGCAAUGGCAUCUCCCACUGAAGCAGAAAAGCUUCAUAGCAAUUUGCAGGCCCAGAUCACACUCGCAGAAUGUUUCAGUGAUCAUGCUUCACAUGUAGGAUUUCUGGCACUACCCAGAGGGUUCAUUGUGAACCACCUGGCAGGACUUGGGGGCUCUGUGUGGUGGCUUUUUCAGAGUAGCCCUGGCACCUAACCUAAAGAAUAUUAAUAUCAUUUCUGGUAAUGCCAAUUACUUUAUUUUUUUUUGAGAUGGAGUUUUGCUCUUGUUGCCAGGCUAGAGUGCAAUGGCACAAUCUCAGCUCACCACAACCUCUGCCUCCCAGGUUCAAGUGAUUCUCCUGCCUCAGCCUCCCGAGUAGCUGGGAUUACAGGCAUGUGACACCACACCUGGCUAAUUUUGUAUUUUUGGUAGAGACAAGGUUUCUCCAUGUUGGUCAGGCUGGUCUCGAACUCCCGACCUCAGGUGAUCCGACCACCUCGACCUCCCAAAGUGCUGGGAUUACAGGCGUGAACCACAGCGCCCGGCCAGCCAAUUACUUUUUUUAAUGUGGGGAAAGGUAUAUAAUCUUGCUGAAAGAGUUUUGCUCCGUGUGAUGGUUCAUACCUGUAAUCCCAGUAUUUUGGGAGGCUGAGGCAGGAGGAUGGCUUGAGCCCAAGAGUUUGAGACCAGCCUGGGAAACAGAGACCCCUGUCUCUACAAAAAAUACAAAAAAUUAGCCAGGCAUGGUGGUAUGUACCUGUAGUAGGAGGCUGAGCUGGGAGGAUCACUUGAGCCUGGGAGGUUGAGGCCACAGUAAGCCAUGAUCAUGCCACUGCACUCCAGCCUGGGUGACAGAGUAAAGAAAAAAAAAAAAAAAGAGUUCUGGUCAUACCCUUACACCCUUACUCUUACAUUUAGAACAUUUAGAACAUUAAUGCUGCAUAAAUGGAACAUGUCCAAAAGCCUCUUAGGAUGCAAGCCUCUUUUGAAAUUGCAAACUGGGACCAGUACAUGUGCCCUAAUAGAGGGCAGUAGGAAAAAAAGCAAGAGCUUUGCAGCUGCUGGAUUACGAACCUCUCUACUGAGGCACUAACUCCUAUUAAGGUGUUAGCUCCUACUGACCCAGCAGAGGCUGAGUAAAGAUUGUCAUUUUGGUCAAUGAUUCUUAAUCAGUGGUAUUUAAUCUUUUGAGAUCACAGACCCCUUCUUUGAAAAGUAUGAACCAUCUCCCCAGAAAAAAGACAGGUGUAUGUAAAAUAUUCUUGCAUUCAAUUGUAGACUCUCUGCCUUAGCCCUAGAUUUUUUAAAACCAUAUUUUAAAGCAUGGCUCCCCUAAUUAUAGAAUUGUCAGAGGCGUCUGAACCAGAGCAACUCCAUCUUGAGUAGGGGCUGGGUAAAAUAAGGCUGAGACCUACUGGGCUGCAUUCCCAGACGGUUAGGCAUUCUAAGUCACAGGAUGAGAUAGGAGGUCAGCCAAGAUACAGGUCAUCAAGACCUUGCUGAUAAAAUAGGUUGCAGUAAAGAAGCCAGCUGAAGCCCACCAAAACCAAGAUGGCCAUGAGAGUGACCUCUGGUUGUCCUCACUGCUACACUCCCACCAGCACCAUGACAGUUUACAGAUGCCAUGGCAAUGUCAGGAAGUUACCCUAUAUGGUCUAAAAGGGGAGGCAUGAAUAAUCCACCCCUUGUUUAGCAUAUAAUCAAGAAAUAACCAUAAAAAUAGGCAACCAGAAGCCUUCUGUCAGUGGAGUAGCCAUUCUUUUAUUCCUUUACUUUCUUAAUAAACUUGCUUUCACUUUA